UUACACUGCACGACAGUGCGAUAGGGGGAUUCCGAGUGCGAGGGCAUACAGUCCUCGCUUUUCUGGACCGUAAGGAGGUCCAAGAAUAAGGGCUGGGCAAGACCGGUGCCAGCCGCCGCGGUAAUACCGGCAGCCCGAGUGAUGGCCGAUAUUAUUGGGCCUAAAGCGUCCGUAGCUGGCCAGACAAGUCCGUUGGGAAAUCCACGCGCUCAACGCGUGGGCGUCCAGCGGAAACUGCCUGGCUUGGGGCCGGAGGACUCGAGGGGUACGUCCGGGGUAGGAGUGAAAUCCCGUAAUCCUGGACGGACCACCGGUGGCGAAAGCGCCUCGAGAGGACGGACCCGACAGUGAGGGACGAAAGCCAGGGUCUCGAACCGG
This 378-nucleotide ribosomal RNA is filed under the name uncultured haloarchaeon. RNAcentral's name for it is "bacterial SSU rRNA". It matches the Rfam family "Archaeal small subunit ribosomal RNA", at positions 350 to 727 of the family's 1478-position model. The record is from RNAcentral. Lineage: Archaea; Methanobacteriati; Methanobacteriota; Halobacteria; Halobacteriales; Halobacteriaceae.